CCUGGGAUAAAUUUUGACUCAACACCAGUUGAACUGGUUUUAGUAUCAGUUGUUUACUCAGUUGUUUACUUAAAUCGUUACCUCCAGAUUACACAAGAGACUCGCCUACCUAAAGUUUACUGUCUUCCCAACCACCUUCUGGGACAGGGAAAAUCCUUCAGGAAAGAUGAAGUGAAAGAUACAGGAAAUGUGACCUUUAGCACCGUCAGCUUGAACUAGAACCAAGUUGUUAAGGCCCCUGGGAUCCCAGUGAUGUGGAAGAGGAGCCAACCAUUGUAUAAAACCCCUCUGAUUUCCAUCCCGCCCCUGGGCUUCCUCCUGCCAAAGCUGCUUCUGGGAACAAAGCAACUUCCCUGCCUGCCUGCCUGCCACUUAGAAACAAAUCACCCCAGGUCUGAACAGAGAGAACUCACAUUUCUUUUACAGAGAAGGUGAGAUACCCUAAAAGCAAAUGUGAGCCAGCAAGGGAAGAGGUUUGGGAACUUGAUUGAAUUGUUUUUCCUAAGAGUAACUCGAUUGAAUAGUGAGAGGCAAUUGUUAAGAUUUGCAAACAAUUCAGAAGGUGUAGAAACUCUUUGAUUGUAACCUCCCUUGCCCAGACUUUGGUCUCAUGAGAAAGAACACUCUCUUCAAUUAGACUCAGCAAAUAAUGGCUCCACGAAGGUUCUCAGCAAGGGCAGAUAAAUCAGAGUCAACAAGAGGCAGCCAGGAGCAGAGCUUUGCCGUCCAACAAAUCCUGGUUUUAAAACUCAGCUCGCUCUCCUAUAUAGCGGAGAAAUCAGACAGCAAGUUGACCAGGUGGUCACAAUUAAAAUAUCAAGGAAGGGCAGACAGAUUGGGUGCCUCUGGGUACAAUAUCCUGAGGACAAAAACCUCACCUGGUAGUUGCCUGACAGGACAUGCAUAAAGUGAGUCUAAUCUUGGGGAAACAUAGAAGCAUGAUUUUGGAACAUUUUAUUUAAAAAGGAGGAGUAAGGCUGGAAGUUUCACAAAUGACGAUGUGAUAGAAUUCAGUGAACAGAUAACAUGUGAUCUGAACUGGAUCCUGUAUGGAGGGGGAAAUGCUCUAAAGAAAACCACGGGGCUAAUUGAAAAAAAAAUCAAAAUAUUAAUUAGAGAUUUAAGUAUCCAAAGUUAAGUGCCCUGAAAGUGAUAACGGAACUGCAGUUGUGUAAGAGAAUGUCCUUGUUCCUAAGAGGUGGAUGCUAACAUACUUAGAAAUAAAGGAGCAUAAUAUAUGCAAUACAUUUUCAAAUAUUCAGAAAAAAAAUCUACAUAUAUGGGAGAGAGAAAGAAGAUGGGAGAGAAAGAAGAAGAAGGAUCAUGGGAGGGAGGAAGGAAGCAAAAAAGGAAGGUUGGGAGGGAGGGAGGACGGGAAAAAGUAACUGGGGCAGAAUAUGAAUAGAAGAAUCUCGGUGAAGCAUAUAGAGAUGUACAAUUUUUCUAUAAGUGGAAAUUAUUCUAAAUAAAUAGGGUAAAUUGUUUAAGCUUUUAGGAUGUAAGCAUAUAGAGAUGCAUACAGUAAAAACCAUGAGGUUGCGGGUUCGGUCCCUGCCCUUGCUCAGUGGGUUAAAGGAUCUGGCGUUGCCGUGAGCUGUGGUGUAGGUUGCAGACGCGGCUCGGAUCCCGCGUUGCUGUGGCUCUGGCGUAGGCUGGUGGCUGGAGCUCCUUUUUGACCCCUAGCCUGGGAACCUCCAUAUGCUGCGGGAGCGGCCCAAGAAAUGG
Molecule: long non-coding RNA, 1725 nt
Filed under: Sus scrofa (pig)
Lineage: Eukaryota; Metazoa; Chordata; Mammalia; Artiodactyla; Suidae
Description: lncRNA (ENSSSCG00025062484.1)
Source: RNAcentral